UUUUUCUGUUUUAAAACACAAAACAACACGUAGUGCAUUAGAAACAUCAAAACUACAUGCUGUGUGAAUAUCUCAUUUCCCAUUUUGGCUCUAAGAACACCUCUAUCGGUGUGUCUAGGGAAGAGUUCUAAAGUAAAAAUGCAAAAAAAAUAAAUGAAAAAAGCAUUAAUUAGUUAGAACCGGUGCUAAAUUAAGGGUAAGUAGAAUUGGUAAGAACCGCCUACGUGGCACACGCAUAUUGGCUUCUUGUUUCUAUUGGUCGUCUCUCUCUUCGUCGGUUUUUUUUGUGUGAGAAAUCUCGUCUUCUCUCCUUCUCCAAAUCCAUCCAUGAAAUCAUCUUGAAGAAUCAAAGCACGGAGAUGUUUCAAGGUAGACACAAUAUGUGACUUCAAUGAAGAAAAGGGAUUACUUUCUGCUUCUGGGUAUCAUCAUUCUCCUCUUCCUCUCUGGGUCUUUAGCUUCAGCUCCUUCAUCAAUUUCACCAGCGAGUCAGUCUCACUCUGUUUUCUGCAAUGCCUAUGAUUCUUUUAUAAUGCUUCUUCUUAAUAUUUAACUUUUGUUUUAGUGGUAAUUAAAAAGAAUCGUCACUGCCUUGUUGUUUUGUUUUUGUUUUCAUAUGUGAAGAAACAGAGCCUCUCCUCCAGAGUAGAUAUGUUUCUUUUAACGGAAAAAGACAAAAAUAGCAUUAAAUCAAGUUUUUGUUCUCAAA
Brassica napus (rape) is the source of this 709-nucleotide long non-coding RNA. RefSeq lists it as uncharacterized. The record is from RefSeq and is a predicted model, not a curated record. The transcript has 2 exons. Lineage: Eukaryota; Viridiplantae; Streptophyta; Magnoliopsida; Brassicales; Brassicaceae.